Molecule: ribosomal RNA, 378 nt
Filed under: uncultured bacterium
Lineage: Bacteria
Description: bacterial SSU rRNA
Rfam family: Bacterial small subunit ribosomal RNA
Source: RNAcentral
AUUGAACGCUGGCGGCGUGCUUAACACAUGCAAGUCGAUCGGUAACAGGUGUAGCAAUACAUGCUGACGAGAGGCGGACGGGUGAGUAAUGCUUGGGAAUCUGCCUAUUAGUGGGGGACAACCCGGGGAAACUCGGGCUAAUACCGCAUACGCUCUACGGAGGAAAGCCGGGGACCGCAAGGCCUGGCGCUAAUAGAUGAGCCCAAGUCGGAUUAGCUAGUUGGUAGGGUAACGGCCUACCAAGGCGACAAUCCGUAGCUGGUCUGAGAGGACGACCAGCCACACCGGAACUGAGACACGGCCCAGACUCCUACGGGAGGCAGCAGUGGGGAAUCUUGGACAAUGGGCGCAAGCCUGAUCCAGCCAUGCCGCGUGAGU